UACGUAGGGUGCAAGCGUUAAUCGGAAUUACUGGGCGUAAAGCGUGCGCAGGCGGUGAUGUAAGACAGUUGUGAAAUCCCCGGGCUCAACCUGGGAACUGCAUCUGUGACUGCAUCGCUGGAGUGCGGCAGAGGGGGGAUGGAAUUCCGCGUGUAGCAGUGAAAUGCGUAGAUAUGCGGAGGAACACCGAUGGCGAAGGCAAUCCCCUGGGCCUGCACUGACGCUCAUGCACGAAAGCGUGGGGAGCAAACAGG
This 254-nucleotide ribosomal RNA is filed under the name uncultured bacterium. RNAcentral describes it as "partial 16S ribosomal RNA". It matches the Rfam family "Bacterial small subunit ribosomal RNA", at positions 524 to 776 of the family's 1533-position model. The record is from RNAcentral.